This is a long non-coding RNA of Belonocnema kinseyi, 733 nucleotides long. RefSeq lists it as uncharacterized. NCBI's taxonomy places the organism in Eukaryota, Metazoa, Arthropoda, Insecta, Hymenoptera, Cynipidae. The transcript is spliced from 3 exons. The record is from RefSeq and is a predicted model, not a curated record.
AGAAAUUAAUGUCAAAAAUUGUAUGUGUGAUUAAUGUGAUACUAAUAUGUGCAGUGCUAAUAUAACAGGGUAUAAACUUCAAAACUUUAUUUACCUCAAUAUAUACUAGAAACUGAAAAAAUAACAUAAAUUAGUCCGUUAGCCUAAAAAUUCAACUCUCGGCAACGUUGACGCAAUUCUUGGCAGGCAUGGACUCAAUCAUUUGCACCCUAGUCAUAUUACGAGGAAGUGGUAAAGGAAUCAGAUUAAACAAAACUUUAAUAGUAUCACUAAGAACCCUGCCUUCUAUAGCGCGAUCUGCGCUUAUCACUCACGCGAGAACUCAGGCGUGGACAAACAGAAGCGGAAUGGGCCACCGUCGACCCCAAAAUCGGUGCUACAGAAGAGUUUUACUUUAUUUGAAUCGGAAAAUUUAAGAAUGCUGAUUCAUCCAAAUUUCAAUCAUUUCAAUCAGCGAACAUACAACCAUCCUGAAUGCAGUAUAACUUUAUGAAAUUUCAAGCAUGUUUUCAUCAAAAACGUCAAGUUGUGAAAAAAAUGAUCAUCGAGUGUCAAGCACGAAAGCAUUUCACGUGGAACAUCUAAAAGGAAAACUUCAUUGUCACUAUCUACCAUGUUCCUUUCAUAGACGUCUCUUACCCUGCAUGUUCAAAAUAUCGGCGAGAGGUUUAAAUUAGUCACGAAAAUUUAUUUUAAUUAAAAACACCAAAAACAUGACACUGAUUGGCACUUG